CCUCCUUAUCUUGAUGUAGAACAAUACGAUGGUUUUGGUUUACCAAAACACGAGUGCUUACACAAAUUACAUGAUAACGAAUUAGAAGAAGUCCAAACAUACUAGCUUCGGACGUUCUUGAAAGAGAAUCAUAGGUCUGUAGCUCAGCUGGUUAGAGCGCACCCCUGAUAAGGGUGAGGUCGGCAGUUCAAGUCUGCCCAGACCUACCACUUUGAGUUUACUCUGAGUGAUUUCGCAAGAGUUAAGUCAACGACUGGUUGCAUUAACGGUGAUGAUUAAUUUCACCAUAAGUAAAUGUUAACGCAUAGUAUGUAUCCCAUGAGGGGCUAUAGCUCAGCUGGGAGAGCGCCUGCCUUGCACGCAGGAGGUCAGCAGUUCGAUCCUGCUUAGCUCCACCACUUCUUCAUAAAGAAAGGCCAAAUUUAAGGUGUUCAUUUGAACAAUUUAGAUUUGGUUUUUUAAGCCAAGUCAUAGCCGAAUGCGUGCUAAUGAUACGCUCUUAACAAUCUGA
Molecule: transfer RNA, 511 nt
Filed under: uncultured Colwelliaceae bacterium
Lineage: Bacteria; Pseudomonadati; Pseudomonadota; Gammaproteobacteria; Alteromonadales; Colwelliaceae
Description: partial 16S-23S ribosomal RNA intergenic spacer
Rfam family: tRNA (bases 133-206)
Source: RNAcentral